RNAcentral lists this ribosomal RNA (274 nucleotides) under uncultured bacterium. RNAcentral's name for it is "partial 16S ribosomal RNA". It matches the Rfam family "Bacterial small subunit ribosomal RNA", at positions 523 to 796 of the family's 1533-position model. The record is from RNAcentral.
AUACGGAGGGUGCAAGCGUUACUCGGAAUCACAGGGCGUAAAGCGCGCGCAGGCGGCUUGAUAAGUUGGAUGUGAAAGCCUACGGCUCAACCGUAGAACUGCAUCCAAAACUGUCAGGCUAGAGUGUGGGAGAGGAAGAUGGAAUUAGUUGUGUAGGGGUAAAAUCCGUAGAGAUAACUAGGAAUACCAAAAGCGAAGGCAAUCUUCUGGAACACUACUGACGCUGAGGCGCGAAGGCGUGGGGAGCAAACAGGAUUAGAAACCCGAGUAGUCC